RNAcentral lists this ribosomal RNA (484 nucleotides) under uncultured bacterium. Its description in RNAcentral is "partial 16S ribosomal RNA". It matches the Rfam family "Bacterial small subunit ribosomal RNA", at positions 28 to 507 of the family's 1533-position model. The record is from RNAcentral.
AUUGAACGCUGGCGGCAUGCUUUACACAUGCAAGUCGAACGGCAGCGCGGGCUUCGGCCUGGCUGCGAGUGGCGAACGGGUGAGUAAUGCAUCGGAACGUGCCCAGUAGUGGGGGAUAGCCCGGCGAAAGCCGGAUUAAUACCGCAUACGACCUGCUGGUGAAAGCGGGGGACCGAAAGGCCUCGCGCUAUUGGAGCGGCCGAUGUCGGAUUAGCUAGUUGGUGGGGUAAAGGCUUACCAAGGCGACGAUCCGUAGCUGGUCUGAGAGGACGACCAGCCACACUGGGACUGAGACACGGCCCAGACGCCUACGGGAGGCAGCAGUGGGGAAUGUUGGACAAUGGGGGCAACCCUGAUCCAGCCAUGCCGCGUGCGGGAAGAAGGCCUUCGGGUUGUAAACCGCUUUUGUUCGGGAAGAAAUCCUCUGGGCUAAUACCCCGGGGGGAUGACGGUACCGGAAGAAUAAGCACCGGCUAACUACGUG